This 405-nucleotide ribosomal RNA is filed under the name Pristimantis dundeei. RNAcentral's name for it is "partial large subunit ribosomal RNA". It matches the Rfam family "Bacterial large subunit ribosomal RNA", at positions 1835 to 2457 of the family's 2925-position model. The record is from RNAcentral. Lineage: Eukaryota; Metazoa; Chordata; Amphibia; Anura; Strabomantidae.
CUUGCUCCCUAUAAGAGGUCCAGCCUGCCCAGUGAACUAAUUCAACGGCCGCGGUAACCUAACCGUGCGAAGGUAGCGUAAUCACUUGUCUUCUAAAUAAGGACUAGUAUGAAAGGCAUCACGAGAACUCAACUGUCUCCCUUUUCUAAUCAGUGAACCUAAUCCCCCCGUGAAAAAGCGGGAAUCCACAAAUAAGACGAGAAGACCCUAUGAAGCUUCAAACACUAAUCAACUGCUUACCUCACCACGCUCAGGCCCCCAAUUAAUGCACUAUGAUAAAAUGUUUUUGGUUGGGGUGACCGCGGAAAACAACUUAACCUCCACAAUGAAAUCUUCAAACCACAAGCCACAACUUUAAGUAUCAACAAAUUGACAUCCAUUGACCCAAUAUAUUGAUUAAUGAAC